RNAcentral lists this ribosomal RNA (111 nucleotides) under Prolemur simus (greater bamboo lemur). Lineage: Eukaryota; Metazoa; Chordata; Mammalia; Primates; Lemuridae. The record is from RNAcentral.
GUCUAUGGCCAUACCACCCUGAACGCGCCCGAUCUCGUCUGAUCUCGGAAGCUGAACAGGGUCGGGCCUGAUUAGUACUUGGAUGGGAGAAGAGCAGCUGGGUCCGAGGCA